AGAGCAUAGGGCGAAUGCCUUGGCACUAGGAGCCGAAGAAGGACGUGAUAAGCUGCGAUAAGCUACGGUAAGGCGCAAAUAGCCAAUAACCCGUAGAUUUCCGAAUGAGGGAACUCAAUUAUGGUAAUGCAUAAUUAUCCUAUGAUGAAUAUAUAGUCAUAGAGAAGGUAACCCGGAGAACUGAAACAUCUAAGUAACCGGAGGAAGAGAAAGAAAAAUCGAUUUUCAAAGUAGCGGCGAGCGAAAUGGAAAGAGCCCAAACCACAGAAGCUGUGGGGUUGUGGACCACCAAAACGAGAAUGAAGUAUAGCCAAAUUGUCUGGAAAGGCAAGACGAAGAGGGUGAAAUCCCCGUAGGCGAAAUGCUAAGUUUUCAGGGUGGCACCAGAGUAGGGCGGGACACGUGAAACCCUGUCUGAAGUAUGGGAGGACCACCUCCUAAGGCUAAAUACUACCUAGUGACCGAUAGAGAACAGUACCGUGAGGGAAAGGUGAAAAGAACCCCGAAAGGGGAGUGAAAUAGAAUCUGAAACCUUAUGCUUACAAGCAGAGGGAGCAAAGAGGGUAGCCUCUAAGUGACCUCGUACUUUUUGUAGAACGGGCCAACGAGUUAUGGUGUGUAGCAAGGUGAAGGCGUGAAGCGCAACAGCCGAAGUGAAAGCGAGCCUUAAUAGGGCGAGAAGUUGCAUGCUGUAGACCCGAAACCGGGUGAUCUAUCCAUGUGCAGGUUGAAGCGAGAGUAAAAUCUCGUGGAGGACCGAACCUGUAUCUGUUGAAAAAGGUUAGGAUGACGUGUGGAUAGGGGUGAAAUUCCAAUCGAACUCGGAGAUAGCUGGUUCUCCUCGAAAUAGCUUUAGGGCUAGCCUCAUGUUAGAGUACUGUUGGUAGAGCACUAAUUGGGCUAGGGGGCUUCACGGCUUACUGAACCUUAUUAAACUCCGAAUGACAGAUACUUGAUGCAUGGGAGUCAGACAGUGUGAGAUAAGUUUCAUUGUCAAAAGGGAAACAGCCCAGAUCUACAACUAAGGUCCCCAAGUGUAAGUUAAGUGGAAAACGAUGUGUCAAUGCUAAAACAACCAGGAUGUUGGCUUAGAAGCAGCCAUUCAUUCAAAGAGUGCGUAAUAGCUCACUGGUCGAGUGCGGAUGCGCGGAAAAUUUCCGGGGCUAAAACUUACCACCGAAGUUUAGGAAUGUAACUAGUUUACAUUGGUAGAGGAGCAAUGUAUACGGGCUGAAGCAGUAUCGAAAGAAGCUGUGGACUGUAUACAAGAGAGAAUGCCGGCAUAAGUAGCGAGAUGGAAGUGAGAAUCUUCCACGUCGAAUGCCUAAGGUUUCCUGGGGAAGGCUUGUCCUCCCAGGGUAAGUCAGGACCUAAGCUCAGGCCGAAAGGCGUAGGCGAUGGACAACAGGUAGAUAUUCCUGUACCACCAAGAGACGUUUAAAUGAGGCGAUUGACGCAGUAGGAUAGUUGAUCCGCGGAGUUGGAUUUCUGUGGCCAAAUCAUGAGGUUUGUGUGUAGUGAAGUACGCACACAGUUAAGACUAGGUGAUGAUGGGGAGUGAAAACUAGUAAUGAAGUCAAUGAAUUCACACUGACGAGAAAAUUCGCUAAAUAUGUUUCUAGGUGCCUGUACCGCAAACCGACACAGGUGGGCGAGGAGAAAAUCCUAAGACGGACGGGAUAACCAUUGUUAAGGAACUCUGCAAAAUGACCCCGUAACUUAGGGAGAAGGGGAGCCUACGCAAGUAGGCCGCAGUGAAGAGGCCCAAGCAACUGUUUACCAAAAACACAGGUCUCUGCUAAAUCGUAAGAUGAAGUAUAGGGGCUGACGCCUGCCCAGUGCUGGAAGGUUAAGGGGAUUUGUUAGCGCAAGCGAAGCAUUGAACUUAAGCCCCAGUGAACGGCGGCCGUAACUAUAACGGUCCUAAGGUAGCGAAAUUCCUUGUCAGGUAAGUUCUGACCCGCACGAAUGGCGUAAUGAUUUGGGCGCUGUCUCAACAGUGGACCCGGCGAAAUUGUAUUAUACGUGAAGAUGCGUAUUACCCGCGACUGGACGGAAAGACCCCGUAGAGCUUUACUGCAACUUGGUAUUGAAAUUCGGUAACUUAUGUACAGGAUAGGUGGGAGACUUGGAAGUAUAGGCGUCAGCUUAUAUGGAGUCACCCUUGGGAUACCACCCUUGAGUUAUUGACUUUCUAACAAGAUACCGUUAUCCGGAUUUUGGACAUUGCCAGGUGGGCAGUUUGACUGGGGCGGUCGCCUCCUAAAAUGUAACGGAGGCGUUCUAAGGUUCCCUCAGGAUGGUUGGAAACCAUCUUAAGAGCGCAAAGGUAGAAAGGGAGCUUAACUGUGAGACAGAUAUGUCGAACAGAUACGAAAGUAGGACUUAGUGACCCGGCGGUAGAGAAUGGAAUUGCCGUCGAUUAACAGAUAAAAGUUACCUCGGGGAUAACAGGCUGAUCUCCCCCAAGAGUUCACAUCGACGGGGAGGUUU
Molecule: ribosomal RNA, 2493 nt
Filed under: human gut metagenome
Description: bacterial LSU rRNA
Rfam family: Bacterial large subunit ribosomal RNA
Source: RNAcentral